GUCCCGGUAGCGCAAUGAAUAGCGCGUUGGACUUCGAAUCCGAAGGUCGUGGGUUCGAAUCCCACCCUGGAUU
Molecule: non-coding RNA, 73 nt
Organism: Trichonephila clavata
Lineage: Eukaryota; Metazoa; Arthropoda; Arachnida; Araneae; Nephilidae
Source: the annotation of a GenBank genome assembly